GGGAGGCGGUUGCCAAGGACGCUAUAGCGCUUAGUAACUGUGGUCCGCGGAAGACAAGCUAGGUCCUAGAGAAGAAAGAGCACCCACCAUCAGGUCUUGCCUCUGCUAUACACGUGAUAUGUGGUGAAUGAAUGAAUGAAAGAAUGAAACGUCAUAGAUCUAGAAAGAGGGACCAUAUUCCCUCUUGGCACUUACUGGUUCUCCAAUUUGUAAAUCACUCCAGAGUCAAUGACAGAAUUCUUCGAUCACCGUGCGAGUCUGUCCUCAAAGGUAUUACCACCUAGUGGGAAAUGGACAAAAUUCCCAUGGUGUAGGCCCCACUGUGGUCACACUACCAGAAAAAAGCCCAGUCUUUUCGGAGUUCAGAAGAGGAAAAAGCACCAUUACCCAGGGAAUCCUAAAAGGGUAGUUUACUGCUUAUACAGAAAAAUCUCAUAGAUCUUAAGCUGGCAUAAGAAGCUUGUGGAAAUACAAGUGGAUAGAUGUGUGUAUUUUUAUAAAAUAUGUGA
Molecule: long non-coding RNA, 509 nt
Organism: Fukomys damarensis (Damara mole-rat)
Lineage: Eukaryota; Metazoa; Chordata; Mammalia; Rodentia; Bathyergidae
Exons: 3
Source: RefSeq, a predicted model, not a curated record